RNAcentral lists this ribosomal RNA (192 nucleotides) under Triticum aestivum (bread wheat). RNAcentral's name for it is "partial small subunit ribosomal RNA". Lineage: Eukaryota; Viridiplantae; Streptophyta; Magnoliopsida; Poales; Poaceae. The record is from RNAcentral.
CUGCGCAAAGGUGUUGCCUCCCUGGGUAUUCUGGUGGCUUGGAGCAUCUGGAAGCAUCGCAAUGCUGUCAUCUUCGACGCUGCUGCACCUUCCUCUGACCGCCUCACUCGGUCCAUCCUCGAUGAGGCACACACGUGGGCUCUGGCGAAAGCUAGAGGAUUGGCAGCGUUUUCUAUUUUUGAGCCACCUUAG